RNAcentral lists this ribosomal RNA (2221 nucleotides) under Bacillus cereus. Its description in RNAcentral is "partial 23S ribosomal RNA". It matches the Rfam family "Bacterial large subunit ribosomal RNA", at positions 682 to 2907 of the family's 2925-position model. The record is from RNAcentral. Lineage: Bacteria; Bacillati; Bacillota; Bacilli; Caryophanales; Bacillaceae.
UCUGAAUAGGGCGUUUAGUACGUGGUCGUAGACCCGAAACCAGGUGAUCUACCCAUGUCCAGGGUGAAGUUCAGGUAACACUGAAUGGAGGCCCGAACCCACGCACGUUGAAAAGUGCGGGGAUGAGGUGUGGGUAGCGGAGAAAUUCCAAUCGAACCUGGAGAUAGCUGGUUCUCCCCGAAAUAGCUUUAGGGCUAGCCUUAAGUGUAAGAGUCUUGGAGGUAGAGCACUGAUUGAACUAGGGGUCCUCAUCGGAUUACCGAAUUCAGUCAAACUCCGAAUGCCAAUGACUUAUCCUUAGGAGUCAGACUGCGAGUGAUAAGAUCCGUAGUCAAGAGGGAAACAGCCCAGAUCGCCAGCUAAGGUCCCAAAGUGUGUAUUAAGUGGAAAAGGAUGUGGAGUUGCUUAGACAACUAGGAUGUUGGCUUAGAAGCAGCCACCAUUUAAAGAGUGCGUAAUAGCUCACUAGUCGAGUGACUCUGCGCCGAAAAUGUACCGGGGCUAAAUACACCACCGAAGCUGCGAAUUGAUACCAAUGGUAUCAGUGGUAGGGGAGCGUUCUAAGUGCAGUGAAGUCAGACCGGAAGGACUGGUGGAGCGCUUAGAAGUGAGAAUGCCGGUAUGAGUAGCGAAAGACGGGUGAGAAUCCCGUCCACCGAAUGCCUAAGGUUUCCUGAGGAAGGCUCGUCCGCUCAGGGUUAGUCAGGACCUAAGCCGAGGCCGACAGGCGUAGGCGAUGGACAACAGGUUGAUAUUCCUGUACCACCUCUUUAUCGUUUGAGCAAUGGAGGGACGCAGAAGGAUAGAAGAAGCGUGCGAUUGGUUGUGCACGUCCAAGCAGUUAGGCUGAUAAGUAGGCAAAUCCGCUUAUCGUGAAGGCUGAGCUGUGAUGGGGAAGCUCCUUAUGGAGCGAAGUCUUUGAUUCCCCGCUGCCAAGAAAAGCUUCUAGCGAGAUAAAAGGUGCCUGUACCGCAAACCGACACAGGUAGGCGAGGAGAGAAUCCUAAGGUGUGCGAGAGAACUCUGGUUAAGGAACUCGGCAAAAUGACCCCGUAACUUCGGGAGAAGGGGUGCUUUCUUAACGGAAAGCCGCAGUGAAUAGGCCCAAGCGACUGUUUAGCAAAAACACAGGUCUCUGCGAAGCCGUAAGGCGAAGUAUAGGGGCUGACACCUGCCCGGUGCUGGAAGGUUAAGGAGAGGGGUUAGCGUAAGCGAAGCUCUGAACUGAAGCCCCAGUAAACGGCGGCCGUAACUAUAACGGUCCUAAGGUAGCGAAAUUCCUUGUCGGGUAAGUUCCGACCCGCACGAAAGGUGUAACGAUUUGGGCACUGUCUCAACCAGAGACUCGGUGAAAUUAUAGUACCUGUGAAGAUGCAGGUUACCCGCGACAGGACGGAAAGACCCCGUGGAGCUUUACUGUAGCCUGAUAUUGAAUUUUGGUACAGUUUGUACAGGAUAGGCGGGAGCCAUUGAAACCGGAGCGCUAGCUUCGGUGGAGGCGCUGGUGGGAUACCGCCCUGACUGUAUUGAAAUUCUAACCUACGGGUCUUAUCGACCCGGGAGACAGUGUCAGGUGGGCAGUUUGACUGGGGCGGUCGCCUCCUAAAGUGUAACGGAGGCGCCCAAAGGUUCCCUCAGAAUGGUUGGAAAUCAUUCGUAGAGUGCAAAGGCAUAAGGGAGCUUGACUGCGAGACCUACAAGUCGAGCAGGGACGAAAGUCGGGCUUAGUGAUCCGGUGGUUCCGCAUGGAAGGGCCAUCGCUCAACGGAUAAAAGCUACCCCGGGGAUAACAGGCUUAUCUCCCCCAAGAGUCCACAUCGACGGGGAGGUUUGGCACCUCGAUGUCGGCUCAUCGCAUCCUGGGGCUGUAGUCGGUCCCAAGGGUUGGGCUGUUCGCCCAUUAAAGCGGUACGCGAGCUGGGUUCAGAACGUCGUGAGACAGUUCGGUCCCUAUCCGUCGUGGGCGUAGGAAAUUUGAGAGGAGCUGUCCUUAGUACGAGAGGACCGGGAUGGACGCACCGCUGGUGUACCAGUUGUUCUGCCAAGGGCAUAGCUGGGUAGCUAUGUGCGGAAGGGAUAAGUGCUGAAAGCAUCUAAGCAUGAAGCCCCCCUCAAGAUGAGAUUUCCCAUAGCGUAAGCUAGUAAGAUCCCUGAAAGAUGAUCAGGUUGAUAGGUUCGAGGUGGAAGCAUGGUGACAUGUGGAGCUGACGAAUACUAAUAG